CACCUGCCUCCCUGGAGGAAAAUCCAAGGGAAUUGUAGAUGCCUUUGUAGCCUUGUCUGCCUUAUUAGGUUAAAGGACUCCUGGUUUGGCCUUUGCCUGAGGGUAUCCAGUUGCCCUUGCCCAGCAGGAGCCGAGUGAUUUCUUCCCAGCCAAAACUCUGCAGCCCCAAACCCCUGAAAGACCUUAGGACGGCUCCAAAGCUUACAGAAAGCUGGGGAAGUGCACUGGGUGAAUAUUAGGGAAGACUGACAGAGCCAUGAGUUAAUUCAGAUCCUUCCCAACAGAGGAGAAAGAGUUGGACACGUGGAAAACCCCCAGGAGAAACUCACAGAGCCCAGUGCAAGAAGUGCAAAAGAGCCCAGAAGUGCCAGGGGCAAAAUGCGAUGGAUGAUUUCCGAUGCCACUGACUUCCCAAUCUGCUCCCACCCCUGGACAGAAAUUUUGGCUGCCCCAGGGAUGCAGUUGGCAACCUCUCUGCUCCAACACUU
Long non-coding RNA from Vidua chalybeata, 488 nucleotides. RefSeq lists it as uncharacterized. The record is from RefSeq and is a predicted model, not a curated record. The transcript has 3 exons. Lineage: Eukaryota; Metazoa; Chordata; Aves; Passeriformes; Viduidae.